UCACAAAGCUUAAAUAUACUUACAUUAUUUAAAUGUCUUUAGAUGAAAUGAAGAACUGUCAUUGUGAAAAUAUUUAAACCUGCUCCAGCGCCAGCACACAGUCAAAAUGGUGUUAUUAUACACAAACACCAGGAUGUAUUCACUUCUGCUGUCUACAGAGAGUGGAGGAUGUGUAGAAAUGCCUGGGGUUAUGCUGACACUCUGAAUACUUCAACACCCUGCUCAGCUUCUUCAAGUCCCAAGACAUUCAGCAACACAGCGAUACCUGGAGGCAACUCUUGAUGGCUUGCUGGCAAGAGAAGCUGCCAAGGCACACGUAGCUGCUAUUUGUCAGCAAUGGCAACUAUCUGAUCUUCUCACUGGUGAGCAUGAGGUGGAGGAUUCGUCUACCUGGGGAAACCUAGGAUGUUUGAGCAUUCAUCCAUCCUAGAGAAUAGUCAAGCUCAGCUGCAGAGGUUAUCAGCCAUGGCUAUCACAGUGUGUCUGACCUGGCCCUGCAACAAUCACUGCUGCAGCCUUCAUAUGCUUGGCACAAAACAGUCAUACUCCUCCUGAUGUGAGACUGCAGACCAGUCUAAAAUCUCAGUUCAGCACAAUAGACCUCUCAGCCCAGCUCACAGGCACUUUCAUAGUAUUCCUGAAGCAAACUAUUCUUUCUCUUUCUUUUCACACGGGGAAAGGCUUGCUCUCACAAGCACUUCAAAACCUUAUUUCAUAACCUCAUUUAUUAAGCUCAUUGAAUAAGCACAGCACAAAGACUUCACUAUGAACUUUCCCUAAUGCAGAGCAAUAAUUUCAUGCAGUCAAUAGCCACAGCUAAGGCACCUCAUGUUCCUCGCAAUCAUCAAGCAAGAACAGUUCUCUGCUGUGGGGCAGAGUCCUGUUUCACUUUGACCAGAAUCCUACUUCACUUCUAAUACAAAACUGUGGAAGAGAGAAGGUAGAAGUUUUUCUGAUGUAGAACAU
This 966-nucleotide long non-coding RNA is filed under the name Coturnix japonica (Japanese quail). RNAcentral describes it as "lncRNA (ENSCJPG00005003273.1)". The record is from RNAcentral. Lineage: Eukaryota; Metazoa; Chordata; Aves; Galliformes; Phasianidae.